UACGUAGGGGGCAAGCGUUGUCCGGAAUCAUUGGGCGUAAAGAGCGCGUAGGCGGCCCUGUAAGUCCGCUGUGAAAGUCAAGGGCUCAACCCUUGAAUGCCGGUGGAUACUGUCGGGCUAGAGUGCGGAAGAGGCGAGUGGAAUUCCUGGUGUAGCGGUGAAAUGCGCAGAUAUCAGGAGGAACACCAAUUGCGAAGGCAGCUCGCUGGGACGUUACUGACGCUGAGACGCGAAAGCGUGGGGAGCAAACAGG
This 253-nucleotide ribosomal RNA is filed under the name uncultured bacterium. Its description in RNAcentral is "partial 16S ribosomal RNA". It matches the Rfam family "Bacterial small subunit ribosomal RNA", at positions 524 to 776 of the family's 1533-position model. The record is from RNAcentral.